Molecule: unclassified non-coding RNA, 384 nt
Filed under: uncultured Actinomycetes bacterium
Lineage: Bacteria; Bacillati; Actinomycetota; Actinomycetes
Description: uncultured actinobacterium contains 16S-23S intergenic spacer region
Source: RNAcentral
UCCGAGUUGACCCCGGCAGUCUCCUGUGAGUCCCCAUCACCCCGAAGGGCAUGCUGGCAACACAGAACAAGGGUUGCGCUCGUUGCGGGACUUAAGGCAACACCUCACGGCACGAGCUGACGACAGCCAUGCAGCACCUGUGCGGGCUCCCGAAGGAGGACCGGCUUUCACCGGCUUCACCCCGCAUGUCAGGCCCUGGUAAGGUUCUUCGCGUUGCGUCGAAUUAAGCCACAUGCUCCGCCGCUUGUGCGGGCCCCCGUCAAUUCCUUUGAGUUUCAGCCUUGCGGCCGUACUCCCCAGGCGGGGUGCUUAACGCGUGAGCUGCGGCACCGAAGGGGUCGCUCCCCCCGGCACCUAGCACCCAUCGUUUACGGCGUGGACUAC